This 555-nucleotide ribosomal RNA is filed under the name Scolopax minor. RNAcentral's name for it is "partial 12S ribosomal RNA". It matches the Rfam family "Bacterial small subunit ribosomal RNA", at positions 658 to 1405 of the family's 1533-position model. Lineage: Eukaryota; Metazoa; Chordata; Aves; Charadriiformes; Scolopacidae. The record is from RNAcentral.
UAGGACCAAAGUACAACUAAGCUGUCAUAAGCUCAAGGUGUAUAUAAGGCCUCUACUUAAAAUGAUCUUAGUACCUAAGAUAAAUUUAAUCCCACGAAAGCUAAGACACAAACUGGGAUUAGAUACCCCACUAUGCUUAGCCAUAAAUCUUGAUAUUUUCUCAUACUAAAAUAUCCGCCUGAGAACUACGAGCACAAACGCUUAAAACUCUAAGGACUUGGCGUGGCCCCAAACCCACCUAGAGGAGCCUGUUCUGUAAUCGAUAACCCACGUUACACCCGACCGCCCCUUGCCAGAGCCAGCCUAUAUACCGCCGUCGCCAGCUCACCUUUCCUGAGAGACCUAAAGUGAGCACAAUAGUUUACAGUCCACUAAUAAGACAGGUCGAGGUAUAGCUAACGGGGCGGAAGAAAUGGGCUACAUUUUCUAACAAUAGACCAAGCUACGGAGGGGGACAUGAAACCGUCCCCCGAAGGUGGAUUUAGCAGUAAAGUGAGAUAAUGCAAGCUCACUUUAAACCGGCCCUGGGCACGUACAUACCGCCCGUCACCCUCC